GGGCCGCACAAGCGGUGGAGCAUGUGGUUAAUUCGAUGGUACGCGAGGAACCUUUACCUGGGUUUGACAUACGGAGGGAAGUGGCAGCGAUGUCACUGUGUCGCGAGACGACUCCGUACAGGUGCUGCAUGGCUGUCGUCAGCUCGUGCCGUGAGGUGUUGGGUUAAGUCCCGCAACGAGCGCAACCCUCGCCUUUAGUUGCCAGUAUUAAGUUGGGCACUCUAGAGGGACUGCCGGUGUCAAACCGGAGGAAGGUGGGGAUGACGUCAAGUCCUCAUGGCCUUUAUGACCAGGGCUACACACGUACUACAAUGGCCGGCACAAAGGGCAGCAAGCCUGCGAAGGUAAGCUAAUCCCGAAAAACCGGUCUCAGUCCGGAUCGCAGUCUGCAACUCGACUGCGUGAAGUUGGAAUCGCUAGUAAUCGUGGAUCAGCAUGCCACGGUGAAUACGUUCCCGGGCCUU
Molecule: ribosomal RNA, 464 nt
Filed under: uncultured Desulfurivibrio sp.
Lineage: Bacteria; Pseudomonadati; Thermodesulfobacteriota; Desulfobulbia; Desulfobulbales; Desulfobulbaceae
Description: bacterial SSU rRNA
Rfam family: Bacterial small subunit ribosomal RNA
Source: RNAcentral